RNAcentral lists this ribosomal RNA (400 nucleotides) under Bacillus sp. KH3M1. RNAcentral's name for it is "bacterial SSU rRNA". It matches the Rfam family "Bacterial small subunit ribosomal RNA", at positions 53 to 480 of the family's 1533-position model. The record is from RNAcentral. Lineage: Bacteria; Bacillati; Bacillota; Bacilli; Caryophanales; Bacillaceae.
ACAUGCAAGUCGAGCGAUUCUCUUCGGAAAAGAGCGGCGGACGGGUGAGUAACGCGUGGGUAACCUGCCCUGUACACACGGAUAACAUACCGAAAGGUAUGCUAAUACGGGAUAACAUAAUAAAGUCACAUGGUUUUCUUAUCAAAGCUCCGGCGGUACAGGAUGGACCCGCGUCUGAUUAGCUAGUUGGUAAGGUAACGGCUUACCAAGGCGACGAUCAGUAGCCGACCUGAGAGGGUGAUCGGCCACAUUGGAACUGAGACACGGUCCAAACUCCUACGGGAGGCAGCAGUGGGGAAUAUUGCACAAUGGGCGAAAGCCUGAUGCAGCAACGCCGCGUGAGCGAUGAAGGCCUUCGGGUCGUAAAGCUCUGUCCUCAAGGAAGAUAAUGACGGUACUU